UUCUGAACUAUUUUGUGUGACUUGUGGUAAAAAUUAAGACUAUACUUCACAUAAUCAUUUCUGUAGUUAGUCUUCAUUUACAUUUUUUAGAAAUAGACCCGCGAUGACGAGGUAUAUCGUUUCAUCUGACAGCGUGAGGUUUAAGAACUUCAUUUCUAAUUUUGUCUUGUGGCAUAUUAGAAAUGAUGUUUCUUCGAAAAUCGUUCGCUUACAAUGGAUAAAACGACUUCUGAGUGGUGAUUUUAAUGAAUAAAUUCCAAGGUUUUACGCAAAAAUAAUGCAGUCAAUAAGUACGGUACGCUUAUGUAUGCUUGCGCAUUAUUUUUCUUUCGUUUGUCUUUCAUUUCUGCAAAUUCUCAACUAUUUUGUGUGACUUUAUUUCUUUCGUUUCUGUUUCAUUUCUGUUUCAUUUCUGCGAAUUCUUUGUGUGACUUUUGGUUGAAAUACUCUGCGUUGGCCGUUGAAAGGUUAAGACUAUACUUCUCAGGAUCAUUUCUGUAGUCAGUCCAGAGAACUUAAAAGUAUAGAGAAGGUGCAGGUUCGACUGCGAACAUUUGAUAGAUUCACAUUAGGGAACUAACCGCAUUUGUUAACAUUGUACAUGGCAUACUAUAUGACGAAGCAUGGAAUAUGAAGAGACAGAAAUACACUCCCAACGAAGAAUUUUGUCUUGCUUUUCGUUUAUAUUUUAUUCCAUUUUGGCAGAGAAAAAUGUGUACAAAAUACACCUCUCACACAGAGAUCAUAAACACAUUUUUUUAUUUGUUUAAAUGAGUUAAGCAUCCACCCCCUCUACUCGGAAAAACUGGCGCAUUCUAAUGCUACAUCGCCAUUCACCACAGCUGAUGACACUACAGCAUAACUCACCACACCAGCAAACCCACUUAACAAAAAGGAUGGGCAAAGGGAAAGCAGGCACAUUCGCUCGACUCAAUUCGUCAUACAUAGUUCGAACAACACAUUCGCUUGUGCACUGCGCCGCGUUAGCUUUCUACACUAAUUAAUACCGACCGAUAACAAUUCGUGUACACAUUUUCGCACAUCACCAUUCGCGCUGCAAGUUCAACAAAAAACGUCGUCUUCACAUGGUUUCUGCUAGCUGCCAUUGGACUUAAUCAAUCCUGCAAUAAACUGAACCUUAUAUUCUGCGCGGCGCCACAAAUACUUACUACGGCGGUCCGGUUGCGAGUUCCAUCUGCCCCGUUCCGGACAUAUGUGCUCGCAUUUCAAAUAUAACGGGUGAUUUUUUUGAGGUUAGGAUUUUCAUGCAUUAGUAUUUGACAGAUCACGUGGGAUUUCAGACAUGGUGUCAAAGAGAAAGAUGCUCAGUAUGCUUUGACAUUUCAUCAUGAAUAGACUUACUAACGAGCAACGCUUGCAAAUCAUUGAAUUUUAUUACCAAAAUCAGUGUUCGGUUCGAAAUGCUUUUUUAUCGACAAAUUUUGUUCAGCGAUGAGGCUCAUUUCUGGUUGAAUGGCUACGUAAAUAAGCAAAAUUGCCGCAUUUGGGGUGAAGAGCAACCAGAAGCCGUUCAAGAACUGCCCAUGCAUCCCGAAAAAUGCACUGUUUGGUGUGGUUUGUACGCUGGUGGAAUCAUUGGACCGUAUUUUUUCAAAGAUGCUGUUGGACGCAACGUUACGGUGAAUGGCGAUCGCUAUCGUUCGAUGCUAACAAACUUUUUGUUGCCAAAAAUGGAAGAACUGAACUUGGUUGACAUGUGCUCGCGAUUCUAUGGCCAUUUUGAGGGAAAACUUCGGACAACAAUUCAUCUCAAGAAAUGGACCCGUAAGUUGGCCACCAAGAUCAUGCGAUUUAACGCCUUUAGACUAUUUUUUGUGGGGCUACGUCAAGUCUAAAGUCUACAGAAAUAAGCCAGCAACUAUUCCAGCUUUGGAAGACAACAUUUCCGAAGAAAUUCGGGCUAUUCCGGCCGAAAUGCUCGAAAAAGUUGCCCAAAAUUGGACUUUCCGAAUGGACCACCUAAGACGCAGCCGCGGUCAACAUUUAAAUGAAAUUAUCUUCAAAAAGUAAAUGUCAUGAACCAAUCUAACGUUUCAAAUAAAGAACCGAUGAGAUUUUGCAAAUUUUAUGCGUUUUUUUUUAAAAAAAAGUUAUCAAGCUCUUAAAAAAUCACCCUUUACAAUUGUAAUUUUCUGAUAAAUAAACGUUAACUUUGCACUCUGCACUUUACAUCCUUACGCAUUUUUAUUUAAGAACAGUGAAAGUGAUUAGUGCUUUUAUUUGCAAAUUUGGUAACAAAUUAUACAUGGUCCUUCGAGCCUCACAGAAAAGCACCAGUGGAAAAACAAAAUCCAUAAAACACAUAUAAUUAUAUCUGUGCGGUGAACAAAAAAAAAAAAACUGUGUGCAGUGAAAAAAGCGAAAAAAAUGCAGUGUCCCAAACAAAAAAAAAAAAUAUAUA
Molecule: long non-coding RNA, 2422 nt
Organism: Bactrocera dorsalis (oriental fruit fly)
Lineage: Eukaryota; Metazoa; Arthropoda; Insecta; Diptera; Tephritidae
Exons: 2
Source: RefSeq, a predicted model, not a curated record